UACGGGGGGAGCAAGCGUUGUUCGGAUUUACUGGGCGUAAAGGGCGCGUAGGCGGCGUGACAAGUCACUUGUGAAAUCUCCGGGCUUAACUCGGAACGGUCAAGUGAUACUGUCGUGCUAGAGUACAGAAGGGGCAACUGGAAUUCUCGGUGUAGCGGUGAAAUGCGUAGAUAUCGGGAGGAACACCAAUGGCGAAGGCAGCUCGCUGGGACGGUACUGACGCUGAGACGCGAAAGCGUGGGGAGCAAACAGG
This 253-nucleotide ribosomal RNA is filed under the name uncultured bacterium. RNAcentral's name for it is "partial 16S ribosomal RNA". It matches the Rfam family "Bacterial small subunit ribosomal RNA", at positions 524 to 776 of the family's 1533-position model. The record is from RNAcentral.